ACAAAGGACAAUGGUUCAAACAGUCCUUGGUUACAAGGCAGAGUGAACUGAAUCACUCCUUGAGUGGUUACAUUUUGCAAGUGUAAAAGCGGGUGAGAACUGUGUUUUCCUUCUGACAUAUAAACACAGACCUCAGUGUGUGUUCGUGUGCUUUUGGACUGUAUCUACAAGAGAGGGGAAUGAAAUGACACUUGUACAAAACAAGAGAAACAUUUCGGUUGCCAAGUUUUUCUGAUACAUAAUACAACAUUUGAACAUCUCUGGAUGGUUUCGUUUUCUCUUGUGCUUUUUAAAAACAUCAGCUAAGAAUAUAUCUGCUGCAGCAUGUUUUAGUAACAUCUCUUUUUUUACCUUUAUGAAUUAAACCUUCUGAACCAAUUCAAAGGUAUUGUAAUAUUGUUUAAAUUGAAAAGAGUUUAAACUCUCCAUGAUGUGGGACUAAAAAUAUGGAAGCUUGAAAAUAUGUUCUUUUUACCAACUUUUCUGUGAGUUUUUGCCAUUUUGCAAUUUUUGUCUCCAGGAAUGGCCCGAAACAAGAACAAAAACAUAGAUGAAAGGAGGCCUUGGACAACCGUUAGUUUUCUCAACAGAGACAACUGUAGAUUGGACCGUUCCAUUCACUUUCACAUGAUAUAACUAAAUCUGUACUUGUAACUGAUGGGCCCAUUUGGUGGAAACAUGGGACAAAACCUUCCCAGCAUCUGUUCUCAGGCUCUGAAAGACCCUUCCCAGACAGGGGAUGUGGCAUCCCUUUAAUGUUGUCCCAUAAAUGGGUGGAUGUCCAAAGGGAUUACUGGUCUUGAUUUUGGAGGCCAUGUAGAAUGUGUUGCACUCUUUUUUUCUUAUAACUGCUCUUUAAUUUGUUAACACUGGUUUCAAAUUUGGUGAGGACACUACCCAAUCUAUAUGAAUUAAGAGACCAUUGUUACGAGUUUGUGGGAAACCAAACUGCGUGCAGUCCUGUCCAGACUUAUCCAGCCCUUUCCUGCAUCCACAAUGAGCAAAAGAAAACAAUCCAAGAAAAUGGAAAAACCAAAGUUUACUCUUAAGUAGCAGAGACAAGGAGAAAAUUAAACAAGCAGCUUCAAAAAACACAAAACCUCCAGCUUCAAAAUAACUCAGUCCAUCUGGAGCAACAAACUCACAUAAAGUUCUUUGCAUUAAAUACAUGCAUCUUCUUUGGAGAUUUCUUCAAUGGUGCAAGGAGACAAGCAUAGUAGGCUCUUGGCCAGGAAACUUACUCCAAGUAAGUUCUGAAGCAAGUGAUUCAGUAAGUCCCAAAAAACAUUACAAACAUUCCCCAAGUUAUACUCCAUUCAGGGAGUGGUUCAAGCUUGUUAGCCUUGAUUGUUCUAAUUACCCAACUAUGAAAUGUAAUUGACCAGGUGUUUUUCCCUUAACACACACAUACAGAAGUAGUGAUCCCACAGAAUACAUGCAUAUACAGCAGCAACCACCACUUCCCUGGAGGCUGGGGCCCCUUUGUUUACACUGUUGCCAUGAGAAUGCAGUUCCGAAUGAGACUGGGACUGCCCAUUCCGUUAGUGACAGGAAGAAAAGAGACACUUAUCUUUUGCCAUCUCACCUGUAUUUGCCUGUCGUCAAGAUGCCUUUGAAAAAACUUCUCAAAUGCUCAUGGAUGGCAUCUCAGCAGAGCCAGGGUGGAAGAAGGCAGGGCCCCAUUCAAGUAGAAAAGUAUGAUUCCAGAUACAUCCUGGCCAGGGGAGGAGAUGACGACGAUGCACUUUGUAGACAGCUGUUUCAGGGAUUUAGUGAACCAUCUCUAGAGAUAGAGGACUUAGAAGACAUCUAACAUCUCUCUCCAUGUCCUCUUCCUGAAACAGCUGUCUCCAUUGUGCGUUCGUACUGGCAGAUCUUCCUCCUCCUUCCCUGGUCAGGGUGCCCAUGAAUGAAGAAUUCUACUUGAAUGAGGCCCUCCCUCCUCCCAUCCCGGCUGAUACCAUCCAGAAAUGCGGAGACACCACAGACACAGAGAGGACUAUGUGGAAAGAAGUGCUGAGUUUGCCGAUGGUUUGCUCUCAAAAGAUUAAAACACCAAUACUAAUAGGAGUAAUAAUACAAUAGCAGUUAACAUGGAAUCAUAACGCGAUCAUUGCAAGCAAUUAUUAAAGGGUGCCUUUUCUCUAUGCUACAAUCUGUUUAUAAAAACAGAUUAUUUUCUCCAGUCAGAUUGAGGCAGUGAAAGCAUUUAAAUUUUAGUGGAAAACUUAAUAGAAACUGAGCUUCUGUAAUGGUGAAUCAGAACCGGAAAUUAUGUUAUUUAGUUUGAAGGAUAUGUAAUUAGUCAAUAAAAAUUGUAUUAAAGGAAAUAGGCUGAGAAGGCAAUACUACCAUUAUCUGGAGGGUGUAGACCAAGCUGUUUCUCCUCCCCUUUGUAUUCAUUUUCUUUCUGUGCCUUUUUGCUUUGAGUAUUUGCUAGUUCAAGUGUGUUAGUUGGCCGGCCUCCACUCCUCUCCCCUCCCCAGGAAGAAAUCCUGCCCCUGAGGAAGGAUCGUGGGGCGGUAGUCUUUUUGCCUGGCGCUAACAGGGCAGCAUGGCACCCACUCCUCUGCCGGCCACUGUUGGCCAACCUCCUUUCUUCUGCCCCCCCCCCCCCCCCGGAGGGAAUCUUGCCCAAGCAGAAGGAUCGUGGGUUGGUGUGUUUCCUCGGCUGGCCACAGUUAGCCAGCCUCCACUCCUACGGCCCCUCCACCCUGCCCCACCCAAGAAGGCAAUCCUGCCCAAGUGGAAAACAUUAAGAUAGAAGACAUUUUCUAAGCCUAAAAGUUUGUCAAAAUCUUCCCCGAAACCAGCAUCAACGCACUGGCAGACCCAAACCAAAACCAAAUCAAACCGACACAAAUCAAACCAAACCAAACCAAACCAAAGCAACCUUCCGCAAGGACCACAUGACAGACUGAAGGCUGCACUGCUGUACAACCAAAGUGUCCGGUCCGCAGUGCAACACCAACCUGUCUCUGCCAGCCAAAAAGGCAUCCCACCCCACCCCAGGAAGGAAUCUUCCCCAAGUAGAAGGAUCCCGGGGCCAGGGGUUCCCUCUGCUGGCCACAGUUGCUGGCCAACACCCCCGGAAGACCUGGGUAAGCCAGCAACUACCAACAAACUGCAGGAAGGACCAGCUGCCUGAAGGCAGCACUGAUGUAUAGCCAUAGUGUCCGCCAGCCCACGGUGCAACUCCGCCAUGUUACCGCCAGCCAAAAAGGCGUCCCACCCCACCCCCAGAGGGAAUCUUCCCCAAGUGGAAGGAUACUGCUGCUUCACCCAAACCAAAACCAAAACCAAAACCAAACCACACAAGCAAACCUAGAGGAAGGACCAGCUAAUUGAAGGCUGCGCUGAAGGAACAACUAACUGAAGGCCGCACUGCUCUACAGUCAUAUUGUCCGGCUCACAGUGCAACACCAACCUGUUCUCUGCCAGCCAAAAAGGCAUCCCGACCCAGUGCAGGAAGGAACCUGUUGGCCACAGUGGAAGGAUCGCGGGGCAGGUUGUUCCCUCGGCCGGCAACAGUUGGCCGGCCUCCACUCCUACGGCCCCUCCACCCUGCCCCACCCAAGAAGGCAAUCCUGCCCAAGUGGAAGACAUUAAGACAAAAGACAUUUUCUAAGCCUAAAAGUUUGUCAAAGUCUUCCCCAAGAACAAGCAUCAAGGAAUGUACAACCACUCCUCUGGCCCCCCGGGAGGGAAUCUUGCCCCAGAGGAAUCUGGCUCCUACUCCCAGACCUGGAUAUUGCCACCUGUUUCUCUGACAUAGUGUCUGUCUGGUCUGCGGAGCUACUCCAACCUGCCACUGCCAGCCCAAAAGGCAUCCUGCCAGCCAGCAACUACCAACAAACUGUAGGAAGGACCAGCUGCCCGAAGGCUGCAGUCCUGUAUGUGUCCGGUCCGUGGUGCAACACUGACAUGCUACUGCCAGCAAAAAGGCAUCCCGACCCAGUGCAGGAAGGAACCUGGUGGCCACAGUGGAAGAAUUGUGGGGCGGAGGGUUCCCUCUGCCAGCCACAGUUGGCUGGCCCACACCCCCCAGAAGACCUGGGUAUUAAGCCAGCAACCCUUUAGGAAGGAACACUUCAGAAAGCCCAUAGAAACCUAUGUAGAAACAACUCUGCAGGCAUCCGGGAAGGAGUCCAUUCCAAGGGCAGCCUCUGUAUAGAGUUCACAGUGUGAACCCCUGGGUGCAACACCAACCUGUCUCCGCCAGCCAAAGAGGCAUCCUGCCCCACCUCAGAAGGGAAUCUUCUCCAAGCAGAAGGAUACUGCAGCUGCACCCAAACCAAACCAAACCCAAACCACACCAGCAGCAGCAACCCUACCCCGUUUCCCCGAAAAAAAAGACAUCCCCGAAAGUAAGACCUAGCAAAGUUUGUUUGGAAGCAUGCCCAUUGCCCACCAAACAGAACACCAGAGCAUGCAGGAUGAUGUACCAUUCUACAUGGAAAUAAUGAUAGUAACAAUAAAUUCUUGAUAGGAUUCACAGUCCGGCCCACGGUGCAACUCCGCCAUGUUACAACCAGCCAAAAAGGCAUCCCGCCCUACUCCAGAAGGGAAUCUUCCCCAAGUGGAAGGAUACUGCUGCUUCACCAAGACCAAGAGGCUCUACUGCCAGGCAAAAAGGCAGGCAUCCCGCCCCACCGCAAGAAGGAAUCUUGCAAGGAAUCUAGCAUCCAUUUAAAACCAAGCUUUCUAAAACAGCUCACCAUGUUUAUACAGUAAAGUUCCAUCCACAAGUUUUGCAUCUCUGAAGGUGAAUUGGUAUGCUUGGUUUGUGGACAGGAAGAAAAGGGUAGUCAACUAAAAGCACAGAAUCACUGCAUUCAUAGCAGACAGCUAUCUCUUUAACUUAUUUGAAUGUACUUAUUUACUGUAAAGUAAAGGUAAAGGUUUCUCCUGAUGUUAAGUCCAGUCAUGUCUGACUCUGGGGGUUGGUGCUCAUCUCC
Anolis carolinensis (green anole) is the source of this 4958-nucleotide long non-coding RNA. RefSeq lists it as uncharacterized. NCBI's taxonomy places the organism in Eukaryota, Metazoa, Chordata, Lepidosauria, Squamata, Anolidae. The transcript is spliced from 6 exons. The record is from RefSeq and is a predicted model, not a curated record.